AUAUCUUCGGGAAGUCCAUUUUGCCAACCGAUUCUCUACACUCUCAUCAGCCUUGACAAACCCUGGAGGUAUUAUGUUAUCAUCCUGAUUGCUCUCCUCAUAGUUAACUAACUAUAAAAUCCGUUAAACUUAUUGAAUGAUAGUUAUCGGAACAGAGUACGGAGUACAUGUAACUAGUUCGAUUCCUUUCAUGUUGACAUAAAUAUCCUCCUCCCCAGGCAUGUGUCUUCUCCCUGCCACGCGCUGGAUUUCCAUGCCCCUGCCUCUAAGCAGGAAGCCCCUGACAGAUAUAGAUACUCUGUAGGGGUAACAAAAACCAGCCAACAGAACAGACCAUGCUAUAUAGCUCUUACGAACUUAAUCCACAAAUUGCCCACUGCGGAAAUAAAACAAAACAAACAAAACAAAAUAAAAUAAAAUGGAAAAAAAAUAAAAAAUAAAAAUAAAAAACA
RNAcentral lists this small RNA (452 nucleotides) under Histoplasma ohiense. RNAcentral describes it as "hypothetical lncRNA". The record is from RNAcentral. Lineage: Eukaryota; Fungi; Ascomycota; Eurotiomycetes; Onygenales; Ajellomycetaceae.